Long non-coding RNA from Physella acuta, 405 nucleotides. RefSeq lists it as uncharacterized. The record is from RefSeq and is a predicted model, not a curated record. Lineage: Eukaryota; Metazoa; Mollusca; Gastropoda; Physidae.
UUUGCCAUCCAGAUUUCAUAACUACAACUGAUGUUCAAUUACAAGGGAUAUUAAUCAGUCUCCGUGGACUAUACACUGUGCCUAGUUUCAUCCUCAGAGACUGAUGUGUAAGCUUAAAGUAAAGACACCAAAUCAAAGUAUCAGUCAUCAAGAGGAAGAACAUUCAAAAUCAUAUUGUGAUACACAAGUCAAGCAAGUCUAUGACCAGCAUUAUGAUGCAGGCCAAGAAAAAAGCUGGAUAUUUGAUUGUAAGGUUGGCACAGUGUUGUGUAAAACCUACCUAUUAUAUACUCUCUCUGUACAUACCUCUUUUAAUGUAUACUUGGUUUUAAGUUAACGUAACGCAUACGAUGUUUUCUAAUAACAUUUUUGAUUACGCACUUUGGCAAACAUUUUUCGACAUCC